CUAAAGUUGUUCGCGCUUUUCCCCCAGGUACCUCAACUAACCAAGAUUCCUAUUAAAUCCUUUAACCCCCUAUAAUUUGAUCCUUUUAAAUAUUUUUGGCUGAUGUGGAGCCAAACGUGAUCUCACGUCCUGUAAGCGCGUGCAGACGCUUUAAAAGUGCUGAUGUGGAUCUUCAACCACCCACCAACGAUCUUCUUCCCCCUUUUAACCCUAAUUUCUCCCAUUCUUCCCUUAUUUCUCCUCUUUUGUUUCUCUUCAUCCCUUAUUUCUCCUCUUUUGUUUCUCUUCAUCAUUAUUUCUCCUCUUAUAUCUCUUUUUCAUUGAUUUCUUCUUAAUCAUUAAGUUCCAAUGUCGAAUUUAUCUUCUUCAUCGAUUUCUUCUUCUUCAACUGCGAAGGUACUAUGUCAAUGUGGGAACGUUGUGGAAAUGAAGACCUCAUGGACGCAAUCCAAUCCUGGACGUAGGUUCCUUUGUUGCAAAACUUCAAAGGCACGAGGUGGAUGUGGAUAUUUUCGAUGGUAUGAUGAUGAAAUGCCUGCUCAAGCUAGGAGGGUGAUAUGGGGUUUGUUGAAAAGAGUCAAAACAUAUGAAUUGGAGAGGAAUCGAUCAAGAAAAGUAUGGAUAAUAUGCAUCAUCGUAGGGGUGAUAUUGGCUACUUGGAUUUGUGUAACAAAAUAAUCUUAGUUGAUUCAUUUGUCUUCUAUUAGAUUCCUUCAUAAAAGUAUGUAUGGUAGAUUCUAGUGUUCUUUAUGGGCAAUUUAGAUCGAUUUUUCUAUUGUAAAUGCCUUGUGUUUUUAUUGUAAUGAUUUAAUUGAAGGAAUGAAGAUAAUUUGUGCCUCAAAAGCAGUAAAAA
This is a long non-coding RNA of Solanum pennellii, 853 nucleotides long. RefSeq lists it as uncharacterized. Lineage: Eukaryota; Viridiplantae; Streptophyta; Magnoliopsida; Solanales; Solanaceae. The record is from RefSeq and is a predicted model, not a curated record. The transcript is spliced from 2 exons.